RNAcentral lists this long non-coding RNA (717 nucleotides) under Mytilus galloprovincialis (Mediterranean mussel). The record is from RNAcentral. Lineage: Eukaryota; Metazoa; Mollusca; Bivalvia; Mytilida; Mytilidae.
AGGGAGAGAUCUGUUUGCGCCAAAAAUGCGUCCUUUUGCGCCACAACUUUUUUUCUCUAAUGCUACGUUUGCGCCACCUGUUUAAAAAUCACAUGGUAUCAUUUGCGCCAGAAAUAAAAUAUAAGAUUGCGCCAAUUUAAAGAAGAACAUCCCUUAAACAAAGAAAACAUUUUUCUAUUACAGUUUCCUGAUUUGGAAGGCAAAAGGCAAUCUAAAAGUGGAAUAUAAAUUAAAUGUCCAUUCCUGAAUCCAUGUAUUGUAUACAAUUGCUGGAAAUACUUCGGACAACACUUAAAAAUGUUCCAUCAGUGACUUAAAAUUUUUGAAAUUCUACUGAACAUUUUGGUUGGGCAGGGUACAGUUAUCUUCUCUCUCUGUACAUAGACUGUCUUAUGCACUUCAAGUCAUUUUUCUGUAGAUUGAUCUUAGCUGGUCUUUCGGAUAUAUUUUCUGUAGCUUUUCUUUUGCAUGCUGUUCGUAGUAUUUGACGCUCUAACUUUUGUGGGUCUGUCUCAUGUAUAUGUGCAAGAUUUCCACUCAGACAAAAUGAUACUAAAUAUAUAUUUAUCUUUAAUAUGUACGAUCAAUAUGUGUUCAGGUAAAUUGGCGCAAAUGAGUUCCGAAAACUGGCGCAAUUGAUACAUUUGAAAGAAAAAAAAUUGACGCAAAUGAUACCCCUGAAAAACAGUAAUUGGCGCAAAAGGAGUGUUGCCAUAU